RNAcentral lists this ribosomal RNA (302 nucleotides) under uncultured bacterium. Its description in RNAcentral is "bacterial SSU rRNA". It matches the Rfam family "Bacterial small subunit ribosomal RNA", at positions 193 to 507 of the family's 1533-position model. The record is from RNAcentral.
AGUGGUAAUUAAAGUCUUUAUGCCGUCGUUUGGGGACGGGGCCUGUACGUAACAUUAGCUUGUUGGUGAGGUAAAAGCUCACCAAGGCUUCGAUGUUUAACUGGUUUGAGAGGAUGACCAGUCACACUGGGACUGAGAUACGGCCCAGACUCCUACGGGAGGCAGCAGUGAGGAAUCUUCCACAAUGGGGCAACCCUGAUGGAGCAAUACCGCGUGCAGGAUGAAGCGUUUCGGCGUGUAAACUGCUUUUAUCACCGAAGAUUAUGACUGUAGGUGAAGAAUAAGGACCGGCUAACUACGUG